This 429-nucleotide ribosomal RNA is filed under the name Actinomycetes bacterium. Its description in RNAcentral is "Actinobacteria bacterium partial 16S ribosomal RNA". It matches the Rfam family "Bacterial small subunit ribosomal RNA", at positions 355 to 776 of the family's 1533-position model. Lineage: Bacteria; Bacillati; Actinomycetota; Actinomycetes. The record is from RNAcentral.
UAGGGAAUCUUCCGCAAUGGGCGAAAGCUUGACGGAGCAACGCCGCGUGAGUGAUGAAGGUCUUCGGAUCGUAAAACUCUGUUAUUAGGGAAGAACAAAUGUGUAAGUAACUAUGCACGUCUUGACGGUACCUAAUCAGAAAGCCACGGCUAACUACGUGCCAGCAGCCGCGGUAAUACGUAGGUGGCAAGCGUUAUCCGGAAUUAUUGGGCGUAAAGCGCGCGUAGGCGGUUUUUUAAGUCUGAUGUGAAAGCCCACGGCUCAACCGUGGAGGGUAAUUGGAAACUGGAAAACUUGAGUGCAGAAGAGGAAAAUGGAAUUCCAUGUGUAGCGGUGAAAUGCGCAGAGAUAUGGAGGAACACCAGUGGCGAAGGCGACUUUCUGGUCUGUAACUGACGCUGAUGUGCGAAAGCGUGGGGAUCAAACAGG